This 447-nucleotide ribosomal RNA is filed under the name uncultured bacterium. RNAcentral describes it as "partial 16S ribosomal RNA". It matches the Rfam family "Bacterial small subunit ribosomal RNA", at positions 328 to 792 of the family's 1533-position model. The record is from RNAcentral.
UAGCCAGACUCCUACGGGAGGCAGCAGUGGGGAAUAUUGCACAAUGGGGGAAACCCUGAUGCAGCGACGCCGCGUGAGUGAAGAAGUCAUUCGUUAUGUAAAGCUCUAUCAGCAGGGAAGAGAAUGACGGUACCUGAAGAAGAAGCCCCGGCUAACUACGUGCCAGCAGCCGCGGUAAUACGUGGGGGGCAAGCGUUAUCCGGAUUUACUGGGUGUAAAGGGGGCGCAGACGGCGAUGCAAGCCAGGAGUGAAAGCCCGGGGCCCAACCCCAGGACUGCUCUUGGAACUGCGUGGCUAGAGUGCAGGAGGGGCAGGCGGAAUUCCUGGUGUAGCGGUGAAAUGCAUAGAUAUCACGCAGAACUCCGAUUGCGAAGGCAGCGCACCGGCGCCCUACUGACGCUCAGGCACGAAAGCGUGGGUAUCGAACAGGAUUAGAUACCCGUGUA